GAUGAACGCUGGCGGCGUGCCUAAUACAUGCAAGUCGAGCGAACAGACGAGGAGCUUGCUCCUCUGACGUUAGCGGCGGACGGGUGAGUAACACGUGGAUAACCUACCUAUAAGACUGGGAUAACUUCGGGAAACCGGAGCUAAUACCGGAUAAUAUAUUGAACCGCAUGGUUCAAUAGUGAAAGACGGUUUUGCUGUCACUUAUAGAUGGAUCCGCGCCGCAUUAGCUAGUUGGUAUGGUAACGGCUUACCAAGGCAACGAUGCGUAGCCGACCUGAGAGGGUGAUCGGCCACACGGGAACUGAGACACGGUCCAGACUCCUACGGGAGGCAGCAGUAGGGAAUCUUCCGCAAUGGGCGAAAGCCUGACGAAGCAACGCCGCGUGAGUGAUGAAGGUCUUCGGAUCGUAAAACUCUGUUAUUAGGGAAGAACAAAUGUGUAAGUAACUAUGCACGUCUUGACGGUACCUAAUCAGAAAGCCACGGCUAACUACGUG
RNAcentral lists this ribosomal RNA (497 nucleotides) under uncultured bacterium. Its description in RNAcentral is "partial 16S ribosomal RNA". It matches the Rfam family "Bacterial small subunit ribosomal RNA", at positions 28 to 507 of the family's 1533-position model. The record is from RNAcentral.